UGGGAUGUAGCUCAGUUGGUAAAAUGCCUGCCUUGCAAGCACAACGCCCUGGGUUCAAUCCCCAGCCUCACAA
This 73-nucleotide transfer RNA is filed under the name Ictidomys tridecemlineatus (thirteen-lined ground squirrel). Its description in RNAcentral is "Spermophilus tridecemlineatus (thirteen-lined ground squirrel) tRNA". It matches the Rfam family "tRNA". Rfam says of the family: Transfer RNA (tRNA) molecules are approximately 80 nucleotides in length. Their secondary structure includes four short double-helical elements and three loops (D, anti-codon, and T loops). Further hydrogen bonds mediate the characteristic L-shaped molecular structure. tRNAs have two regions of fundamental functional importance: the anti-codon, which is responsible for specific mRNA codon recognition, and the 3' end, to which the tRNAs corresponding amino acid is attached (by aminoacyl-tRNA synthetases). tRNAs cope with the degeneracy of the genetic code in two manners: having more than one tRNA (with a specific anti-codon) for a particular amino acid; and 'wobble' base-pairing, i.e. permitting non-standard base-pairing at the 3rd anti-codon position. Lineage: Eukaryota; Metazoa; Chordata; Mammalia; Rodentia; Sciuridae. The record is from Rfam by way of RNAcentral. RNAcentral also lists the same sequence under 1 other name.